GACGAACGCUGGCGGCGUGCUUAACACAUGCAAGUCGAACGGAAAGGCCCUGCUUUUGUGGGGUGCUCGAGUGGCGAACGGGUGAGUAACACGUGAGUAACCUGCCCUUGACUUUGGGAUAACUUCAGGAAACUGGGGCUAAUACCGGAUAGGAGCUCCUGCUGCAUGGUGGGGGAUGGAAAGUUUCGGCGGUUGGGGAUGGACUCGCGGCUUAUCAGCUUGUUGGUGGGGUAGUGGCUUACCAAGGCUUUGACGGGUAGCCGGCCUGAGAGGGUGACCGGCCACAUUGGGACUGAGAUACGGCCCAGACUCCUACGGGAGGCAGCAGUGGGGAAUAGUGCACAAUGGGCGGAGGCCUGAUGCAGCAACGCCGCGUGCGGGAUGACGGCCUUCGGGUUGUAAACCGCUUGCGCCUGUGACGAAGCGUGAGUGACGGUAAUGGGUAAAGAAGCACCGGCUAACUACGUG
Molecule: ribosomal RNA, 468 nt
Filed under: uncultured bacterium
Lineage: Bacteria
Description: partial 16S ribosomal RNA
Rfam family: Bacterial small subunit ribosomal RNA
Source: RNAcentral